Long non-coding RNA from Peromyscus californicus insignis, 2568 nucleotides. RefSeq lists it as uncharacterized. The record is from RefSeq and is a predicted model, not a curated record. The transcript has 2 exons. NCBI's taxonomy places the organism in Eukaryota, Metazoa, Chordata, Mammalia, Rodentia, Cricetidae.
AAAAUUGGAGUCGCUGGUCACGGAAGGUUGGCUGCAGCUGUCAUGGGGGAAGCAGAAGGUAGAAGAAGAAGCUGUGCUGCCUGUCUCCAAAACUAUCACUGGAACCAGGCAAAAGCAAAAGGGCAGGCUGAGGUAGGGGUUUGAAGACUCAGGUUUAUUUGCUUUUUGGUGUAAAGGAUGAAAUCAGCGAGGAAGUAAAGCACAAGACAGCAUCAAGUUCGAGCCACUGUGAUAUUGUAUGAGUGCUCCGCAGAGGGGCAGUGAAGAGGAGGAUCCUGCCAUACAGAGGAAAGAGCUGGGCCCUCAGCACCUGCCAUGCUGAUGACAGAAUCCUGUCUCUGCCUGAUGCUUAGUUCUUCCUCCUUGACUGGUUUCCUAGCUUAACAGACAUUCCAGUCCCUUGAGAAUCAGAGGAAAUGAACGACAGUGCCUGGUGCUUGAGCUUACUAACAGAGUUCCUUUGUCACUGUUAAGACAGCCAUUUAUGCAUGUUCUGGCUGCACACUGAAUGAGUGUUUUGUUUGUGGAGGUGCCAUAUACAAUGAUAACAUAUGAAGCAUAUGAUAAAUGCUUCCUUCCUAUGUUAACUCACAUUGGCCUAUGGGGCCAUAUGCUUAUCAGGGCCAGCACAUGGGCAGACAUGUCACAUUUGCAGGAUUAUUUUGUGUCCUGACUGUAUCUCAUUUUCCUAUCCCAAAAUAGUAAACUGAUACAAGAAGUUUGAGGAGCAGGCUGACAUUCCUGGCAGCCUGUGUGACAUAGGAAGCAGCUGGGAGCCUCGGAUAACAGCUUGAGAUGUGUUGUAAUGGUUUGGUCUGAUUUUUCCCAGGUUUCUUGUGCUUUAGCCAGCAGCUUAAAAGUGAUCUGUGGAAUUGCGUUUAGUCAGCUUUCUCAGACAGCAGAGCCUCCCAGUAUCUCCAGUCAUCUCUCCUAUCUUCUAUGCAUGAAUCAUGGCUACCUAAAGGGUCAUAAUUCACAGUUCCUCUGUCAGGCUGAGUCUCUUAGGGUUUUAUUGCUCUGAAGAGACACCAUGACCAUAACAACUCUUAGGAAGGAAAAUAGUUAAUUGAGGCUCAUGUACAGUUUAGAGGUUUAGUCCAUUAUCAUCAUGGCAGGAAGCACGGUGGUGUGCAGACAGAUAUGGUGCUGGAAAGGCAGCUGCAAGUUCUACAUCUGAACCCAAAGGCAGCAGGAAGUGACAGUGACACUAAGCGUGGCAUCUGGAGCAUCUGAGACCUCAAAGCCUGCCCUCAGUGACACACUUUCUCCAACAAGGCCACACCUCCUGAUAGUGCCACUCCCUGCGGGCCUAUGGGGGCCAUUUUUAUUCAAAAUACCACAUUGUGUAAACUUGUUUGUCACAUUAUGGGGAAGUGAUAUCAGAAUCUAUCAUACCAUAUGUGGGAUAGACUUACUUUUGGUGAUAUCCUACUAACUCAUUAUAUUAAUAACAUCAUGUAAUUUAAAAAUGUUUUAUCUUUUCAUUCUAUUUCUCAUCUCCUUUCAUUUUUCCCUUCUCCAAGCCACUCUUGGCUUUUUUCCCCCUUUCAGGCUGAGAACUCUCCUCCUUCCCUUCACUUUAUCUCAUCUUCCACUAACUGCUUUUCAUUUUUCAUGUUAGUUUCUAUUCUUUAAAAUUUGUAUCUUCUCUCCUUCAUAUUUCUUCUUCCUUCUUUUCUUGCGUAUCCUCCUGCAUUUAUAUCUUCCCCCAAAAAAUAAUUUUUCUUUCUUUUACCUCUGUUCCCUCUCUUCUAUUUUCCUUUAUUCAACUGCUCCAUUUUACUUAGUAGCCCUGGAUCAGAGAGAUCUAGGAGAUAGAUAGGAAGGCCUGUUGGGUCCAAGUUGGUUCUUUAAGUGACCAUUCAUUUUGAAUAAAGUGCAGAGUCUACAGCAGUGGCCACCAUGGAUUUAUAUCUGUAGACAGUGAGUAAAUUCCCUCUGCAGCUGGAACUGUAUAUUUAGACCUUGCCCAAAUUAAAAUUCUAGUUCAUGACUCAUCUGCUCUUGAAAUUAUGAUGGUAGGAAGAUCACAGAGUGUCUUCAAGGCUAGUCUAAUGGUCUUGACAUUUUUGAAGGCCAAUGUCUCCUCUGGGAAACAGCUGAAACUUUUAGACUAUUUUCUCAGAAAAAAAAUUUGUCAUCCCCUGGAAGAUUUGCUCAAAAGUUUGUGGUGUCUAAAAAUGUGGUGUCCAUUUUAUGCUAGGCAUCCCUCCUGGUACCAUUAGCCAUUUGUCUCUGACUCCAGUCCCUGGAAGAUAAGUUUCCAGUAACCCCAACUCAGUGCCCCCCUCCAAGAAAUGUACAGCCAUGAUCAUCUACUUGUUAAGACUAAUUGCUUUUUGGCUUCUGUAACGUACUUGUGCAGACAUUCAGGUUGCCUUGACUUGAUUAGGUAAUCUUGGUAGAGCCAAACAGCUCUUGGCUUGCUUGUGCAGUACUCAAGGUCUUCUUGUGGAUUUUGUCUUUAAAACUCCUUCCCUCACUCCCCUUCCCAUGGCAAUCUGAAAUUUGGCUCAGUGGUUGAUGUCCUGCUAGUGGUAAUCAAUAAAUCUUUUCAUUAUAAUUGCA